RNAcentral lists this long non-coding RNA (514 nucleotides) under Homo sapiens (human). RNAcentral describes it as "HSALNT0120517". Lineage: Eukaryota; Metazoa; Chordata; Mammalia; Primates; Hominidae. The record is from RNAcentral.
CCAGAUGCAAUCCCCGUGGACCUCUGUUGGGGAACACAGGAAGAAUUUUCCCCUCAUGUCUGCAGGGAGCAUUUUCCAGCCAGAAUGCAUAAACCAUUGAGAAUAUCUCCCAUGGAGUCCGCUGAGAGGGAGAAUUUUAAAGAUUCCUCUUACCUCCCCACUGCAAGAUCCUGUUUGUCCCCCAGGAGUGGGUUAAUAUGUUAGCCAUGCACUGUUCUCAGCAGAAGUCAUUGAAGUGGCAAUUGCAAAGGUCUUAUAGAUAAGUGUAUCUGGUGAUGAUGCAUUCAUUUUACCAUCCUAACCAGUGAGAAGCAGCAGAUCAGACAUAUUUUGGUUAUGAACAAUGCCAGAAGUUUCUGGUCAAUGAAAAGAAAUUGCUAAGGAAGACAGCUUAUUAGUGCCAAGAACUGUGAUUUCUGUAAGCUGGCUUGUUUUGAGACCAAUUUGGGUAUAAUUUUAAACCCAAGCACAAUUUUGUAUGAUGUUUUAGAAAAGUGUGGAAUUUUUUAUUUUA